Molecule: ribosomal RNA, 460 nt
Filed under: uncultured bacterium
Lineage: Bacteria
Description: partial 16S ribosomal RNA
Rfam family: Bacterial small subunit ribosomal RNA
Source: RNAcentral
CCUACGGGAGGCAGCAGUGAGUAAUAUUGAUCAAUGGGCGCGAGCCUGCACCCGCCAAGUAGCGUGAAGGAUGACUGCCCUACGGGUUGUAAACUUCUUUUAUAAAGGAAUAAAGUGAGGCACGUGUGCCUUUUUGUAUGUACUUUAUGAAUAAGGAUCGGCUAACUACGUGCCAGCAGCCGCUGUAAUACGGAGGAUCCGAGCGUUAUCCGGAUUUAUUGGGUUUAAAGGGUGCGUAGAUGGGUUGUUAAGUCAGUUGUGAAAGUUUGCGGAUCAACCGGAAAAUUGCAAUUGAUACUGGCAGUCGUGAGUACAGUUGAGGUAGGCGGAAUUCGUGGUGUAGCGGUGAAAUGCUUAGAUAUCACGAAGAACUCCGAUUGCGAAGGCAGCUUACUAAACUGCCACUGACAUUGAUGCUCGAAAGUGUGGGUAUCAAACAGGAUUAGAUACCCCUGUAGUC